RNAcentral lists this long non-coding RNA (381 nucleotides) under Cyanistes caeruleus (blue tit). Its description in RNAcentral is "lncRNA (ENSCCEG00000009721.1)". The record is from RNAcentral. Lineage: Eukaryota; Metazoa; Chordata; Aves; Passeriformes; Paridae.
UGCUAGCUCAUAGGAAAAUUAAUCCACGUUUACUGGAUUGCUGAGCCUUUGAGAAGACAAUUUCUGCUUAACUGCAGUGGAGGAAACUAGCACAUGUUUCAGAGGAUGCUCAGAUACACAGAUGCUCUGAAGGCAGAUAUCCAGUCACUUAAAUAGCCUGGAUCUAAAAGGUCUAACGCCAGUUCUAAUCUGCAAGUGAGAAGAUCUAGACAGAGGCUAUCAGAGCAUGGGAAUGCUGAAAGUCAGUCUGGAUCUGUCCACAUGAAAAUUUAGACUACAUUAGGGGAUAGCUGUAUCUACCUUCUUGACAGGCACUGAAAGGUUCUUGCUGAGGGAGGCAGUAGAUUUGAAUCAAGUCUGAGUGCAGCCAGUCCACAGGAG